This 492-nucleotide ribosomal RNA is filed under the name uncultured bacterium. RNAcentral describes it as "partial 16S ribosomal RNA". It matches the Rfam family "Bacterial small subunit ribosomal RNA", at positions 30 to 507 of the family's 1533-position model. The record is from RNAcentral.
AUUGAACGCUGGCGGCAUGCUUUACACAUGCAAGUCGAACGGUAACAGGCCUUCGGGUGCUGACGAGUGGCGAACGGGUGAGUAAUGCAUCGGAACGUGCCCAGAGGUGGGGGAUAACGCAGCGAAAGCUGUGCUAAUACCGCAUGUGAUCUGAGGAUGAAAGCGGGGGACCAGGCAGCAAUGUUUGGCCUCGCGCCUUUGGAGCGGCCGAUGUCAGAUUAGGUAGUUGGUGGGGUAAAGGCCUACCAAGCCGACGAUCUGUAGCUGGUCUGAGAGGACGACCAGCCACACUGGGACUGAGACACGGCCCAGACUCCUACGGGAGGCAGCAGUGGGGAAUCUUGGACAAUGGGCGCAAGCCUGAUCCAGCAAUGCCGCGUGCGGGAAGAAGGCCUUCGGGUUGUAAACCGCUUUUGUACGGAACGAAAAGGCUCUGGCUAAUACCUGGGGCUGAUGACGGUACCGUAAGAAUAAGCACCGGCUAACUACGUG